Molecule: long non-coding RNA, 335 nt
Filed under: Homo sapiens (human)
Lineage: Eukaryota; Metazoa; Chordata; Mammalia; Primates; Hominidae
Description: non-protein coding lnc-ANKRD20A2-19:1
Source: RNAcentral
UCCCAUAAAAACUAGACAGAAGCAUUCUUAGAAACAUGUUUGUGAUGUGUGUACUCAACUAACAGAGUCGAACCAUUCUUUUGAUAGAGCAGUUUUGAAACACUCUUUUUGUGCAGAGCACCGCCCCAGGCGCUGGGAGGCACACAGCACCACCACAGGCCCAGUCUCCACUCCCCAGCUGUGAAAGGAUCACUGACUGAACCCCCAAGGUAGCCCACCAGGCCUCCAUAGAGCUGCCCAGCAUGGCCAUGGCCAGUACCAAGAGUCGGUGGGAGACGGGUGAGGUACAGGCUCAGUCUGCGGCCAAGACUCCGUCCUGCAAGAUGAAGGUAAUG